RNAcentral lists this ribosomal RNA (447 nucleotides) under uncultured bacterium. RNAcentral describes it as "bacterial SSU rRNA". It matches the Rfam family "Bacterial small subunit ribosomal RNA", at positions 355 to 825 of the family's 1533-position model. The record is from RNAcentral.
UGGGGAAUAUUGGACAAUGGGCGAAAGCCUGAUCCAGCAAUGCCGCGUGAGUGAUGAAGGCCUUAGGGUUGUAAAGCUCUUUUACCAGGGAUGAUAAUGACAGUACCUGGAGAAUAAGCUCCGGCUAACUCCGUGCCAGCAGCCGCGGUAAUACGGAGGGAGCUAGCGUUGUUCGGAAUUACUGGGCGUAAAGGGUGUCGAGGCGGUUGUAUUAGUCGUUCGUAAAAUCUACGAGCUUAACUUGUAGGCGGCGAACGAAACGGUACGACUUGAGGUUUGGAGAGGUGCGUGGAACUCACGGUGUAGGGGUGAAAUCCGUUGAUAUCGUGGGGAACACCAAAGGCGAAGGCAGCGCACUGGCCAAAAUCUGACGCUCACACACGAAAGCUAGGGUAGCGAAGAGGAUUAGAUACCCUAGUAGUCCCUGAGCGGGCUGGCAAGGCGCAU